RNAcentral lists this ribosomal RNA (444 nucleotides) under uncultured bacterium. Its description in RNAcentral is "bacterial SSU rRNA". It matches the Rfam family "Bacterial small subunit ribosomal RNA", at positions 330 to 792 of the family's 1533-position model. The record is from RNAcentral.
CCCAGACUCCUACGGGAGGCAGCAGUGGGGGAUAUUGCACAAUGGAGGAAACUCUGAUGCAGCGACGCCGCGUGAGGGAAGACGGUCUUCGGAUUGUAAACCUCUGUCUUUGGGGAAGAAAAUGACGGUACCCAAAGAGGAAGCUCCGGCUAACUACGUGCCAGCAGCCGCGGUAAUACGUAGGGAGCGAGCGUUGUCCGGAAUUACUGGGUGUAAAGGGAGCGUAGGCGGGACUGCAAGUUGGGUGUCAAAUCUACCGGCUCAACCGGUAGCCGCACUCAAAACUGCAGUUCUUGAGUGAAGUAGAGGCAGGCGGAAUUCCUAGUGUAGCGGUGAAAUGCGUAGAUAUUAGGAGGAACACCAGUGGCGAAGGCGGCCUGCUGGGCUUUUACUGACGCUGAGGCUCGAAAGUGUGGGGAGCAAACAGGAUUAGAUACCCUAGUA